RNAcentral lists this ribosomal RNA (351 nucleotides) under uncultured Pseudomonas sp. Its description in RNAcentral is "bacterial SSU rRNA". It matches the Rfam family "Bacterial small subunit ribosomal RNA", at positions 1031 to 1382 of the family's 1533-position model. Lineage: Bacteria; Pseudomonadati; Pseudomonadota; Gammaproteobacteria; Pseudomonadales; Pseudomonadaceae. The record is from RNAcentral.
GACACAGGUGCUGCAUUGGCUGCCGUCAGCUCGUGUCGUGAGAUGUUGGGUUAAGUCCGUAACGAGCGCAACCCUGUCCUUAGUUACCAGCACGUUAUGGUGGGCACUCUAAGGAGACUGCCGGUGACAAACCGGAGGAAGGUGGGGAUGACGUCAAGUCAUCAUGGCCCUUACGGCCUGGGCUACACACGUGCUACAAUGGUCGGUACAAAGGGUUGCCAAGCCGCGAGGUGGAGCUAAUCCCAUAAAACCGAUCGUAGUCCGGAUCGCAGUCUGCAACUCGACUGCGUGAAGUCGGAAUCGCUAGUAAUCGUGAAUCAGAAUGUCACGGUGAAUACGUUCCCGGGCCUU